RNAcentral lists this ribosomal RNA (253 nucleotides) under uncultured bacterium. RNAcentral describes it as "partial 16S ribosomal RNA". It matches the Rfam family "Bacterial small subunit ribosomal RNA", at positions 524 to 776 of the family's 1533-position model. The record is from RNAcentral.
UACGUAGGGCGCAAGCGUUGUCCGGAAUUAUUGGGCGUAAAGAGCUCGUAGGCGGCUUGUCACGUCGGGUGUGAAAGCCCGGGGCUUAACCCCGGGUCUGCAUUCGAUACGGGCUAACUAGAGUGUGGUAGGGGAGAUCGGAAUUCCUGGUGUAGCGGUGAAAUGCGCAGAUAUCAGGAGGAACACCGGUGGCGAAGGCGGAUCUCUGGGCCAUUACUGACGCUGAGGAGCGAAAGCGUGGGGAGCGAACAGG